RNAcentral lists this ribosomal RNA (371 nucleotides) under uncultured bacterium. RNAcentral describes it as "bacterial SSU rRNA". It matches the Rfam family "Bacterial small subunit ribosomal RNA", at positions 790 to 1167 of the family's 1533-position model. The record is from RNAcentral.
GUAGUCAUAGCUAUAAACGAUGUUCACUAGAUGUCGGGGCUUCGCCUCGGUGUCGCAGCUAACGCAUUAAGUGAACCGCCUGGGAACUACGGCCGCAAGGUUGAAACUCAAAGGAAUUGGCGGGGGCCCGCACAAGCGGUGGAGCAUAUGGCUUAAUUCGAUGCAACGCGAAGAACCUUACCAAGGUUUGACAUGGAUCUGCAAGCGGUAGAAAUAUCGUCGCCUUCGAGGGUGAUCCACAGGUGGUGCAUGGCUGUCGUCAGCUCGUGUUGUGAAAUGUUGGGUUAAGUCCCGCAACGAGCGCAACCCUCAUGUUCUGUUGCCAGCGUGUAAUGACGGGAACUCGGAACAAACUGCCUCUGUAAAGAGGA